UGGGCAACCUGCCCCCGACCCUGGGAUAACCCCGGGAAACCGGAGCUAAUACCGGAUACUCCGGCUGGAUCGCAUGGUCCGGCCGGGAAAGGUCCGCCGGAGAGGGAUGGGCCCGCGGCCUAUCAGCUAGUUGGUGUGGGUAAUGGCCCACCAAGGCGACGACGGGUAGCCGGCCUGAGAGGGUGACCGGCCACACUGGGACUGAGACACGGCCCAGACUCCUACGGGAGGCA
RNAcentral lists this ribosomal RNA (233 nucleotides) under uncultured bacterium. RNAcentral's name for it is "partial 16S ribosomal RNA". It matches the Rfam family "Bacterial small subunit ribosomal RNA", at positions 118 to 350 of the family's 1533-position model. The record is from RNAcentral.